AACGAACGCUGGCGGCAUGCCUAACACAUGCAAGUCGAACGAGACCUUCGGGUCUAGUGGCGCACGGGUGCGUAACGCGUGGGAAUCUGCCCCUUGGUUCGGAAUAACAGUUAGAAAUGACUGCUAAUACCGGAUGAUGACUUCGGUCCAAAGAUUUAUCGCCAAGGGAUGAGCCCGCGUAGGAUUAGGUAGUUGGUGGGGUAAAGGCUCACCAAGCCGACGAUCCUUAGCUGGUCUGAGAGGAUGAUCAGCCACACUGGGACUGAGACACGGCCCAGACUCCUACGGGAGGCAGCAGUGGGGAAUAUUGGACAAUGGGCGAAAGCCUGAUCCAGCAAUGCCGCGUGAGUGAUGAAGGCCUUAGGGUUGUAAAGCUCUUUUACCAGGGAUGAUAAUGACAGUACCUGGAGAAUAAGCUCCGGCUAACUCCGUGCCAGCCGCCGCAGUAA
Molecule: ribosomal RNA, 449 nt
Filed under: uncultured bacterium
Lineage: Bacteria
Description: partial 16S ribosomal RNA
Rfam family: Bacterial small subunit ribosomal RNA
Source: RNAcentral